Molecule: ribosomal RNA, 115 nt
Filed under: Klebsiella pneumoniae
Lineage: Bacteria; Pseudomonadati; Pseudomonadota; Gammaproteobacteria; Enterobacterales; Enterobacteriaceae
Also listed under: 1 other name
Source: RNAcentral
CCUGGCGGCACUAGCGCGGUGGUCCCACCUGACCCCAUGCCGAACUCAGAAGUGAAACGCCGUAGCGCCGAUGGUAGUGUGGGGUCUCCCCAUGUGAGAGUAGGGAACUGCCAGG